Long non-coding RNA from Mustela lutreola (European mink), 580 nucleotides. RefSeq lists it as uncharacterized. The record is from RefSeq and is a predicted model, not a curated record. The transcript is spliced from 2 exons. NCBI's taxonomy places the organism in Eukaryota, Metazoa, Chordata, Mammalia, Carnivora, Mustelidae.
GCCAAAGAAUGUCAAUUUCAGAGCUAAAAGGGAUCUUAGAAAACGGUAGAACACUAACUUGUUAUUAUAUGGAAAAACUGAUCAGCUUGCCCAGGGGUCUGGAUACAGAAGAGACCAAGAAUGUAGAGCCUGGCAAGGGACCCCGAAGACCAGCCAGUAUGUAUGCCCUGGCUCUACCCAGGUAUCUGUUGUCCUUGAAGAGACUAAGGAGUCAAGUUCACACAGCUGGUUAGUGACACAAUACUAGCUAGAUCCCAACUGUCCCCACUCUCACCUCUCCACCUCCAUCCCCAAGCAACCACUGAUCCACUUUCUGUCACUAUAGAUUAUUUUCCUAGAAUUUGAUAAAAAUGGAAUCACAUGGUAUUUUUUGAAUCUGGUUUCUUCCACUCAACAUGAAUUUUGAGAUUCAUGAAUCUACAUUGUUGUAUGUACUGGAAGAGUGUUCUUUCUUAUUGUUGAGUAGUAUUUUAUUUUAAAGAUAUAUUGCAAUAUAUUUAUCUGUUCUUCUGCGGAUGGAUGUUUGGAUUAUUUCCAGGUUUUGACUAUUAUGAAUAAAACUGCUAUGAACAUCCUUGUA